Long non-coding RNA from Melitaea cinxia (Glanville fritillary), 742 nucleotides. RefSeq lists it as uncharacterized. The transcript has 2 exons. Lineage: Eukaryota; Metazoa; Arthropoda; Insecta; Lepidoptera; Nymphalidae. The record is from RefSeq and is a predicted model, not a curated record.
UACAUUGUGGUCUCCUCCUCGUAUGAUGAGAGAUGAUAGUGUAGUCCCGUCCGUUUAGUCGAUUAUGCGCCACAUAUUUAAAGCGAAGAGCGAACAUCCCUAGUAUGCGUGCCCCUCACUAGUCUAUAACUCUAUAGUUCAUUCGUUCUUUAUGUCAACUACGCGUCACAUAAAAAAAUUUUCCUUUCCUUUUAUUUUUUGUAAAAAGUGUAAUUUACUUCAAAAUGGGGAAGAGAAAGCAUGCAGAUAAAUCUCGUGAACGUUUAUUGGAAAAAAAAAAAAUCAAGAAAUUAGAAGAAUAAGCUCGGACUCCGAUUCGAGGGACGAAGACAUUGUGGCAAGUCCAAUUAUUCAAUCACCUGAAAAUAAGGAAGAACAGUUAGAGGAGAAUGUGUUAGAGAUACUCGGCGUGGCUCCUCAAACAGAAGCAAAAGGAGAGAACCUACAUAAACAAAUUAUUACUAAAGAUUGCUUCUGAAAAGCUUCUAUUAUUUAUGAUAGGUCUAUUAUAAAAUCUAGCAAAGGUUGUUGACUCACCUGUCCAACCAGCCGCUUUUCUAAUAUCAUCUAUGUUUACUCCCUUACUAUAGGCAGCCGACGUUGAAGCGUGGCGAGUGCUAUGUGCUGAGAAUAUACUGAUGUCUAUACCACUCUCUUCCAUAACUUUCUUGACCCAGCGGCUGAUUGUACUAGGUGUUACAGAUUUAUAAGGUCUCCUUAUUGAAAUAAACAAUAGAUUGGA